GAUGAACGCUGGCGGCGUGCCUAAUACAUGCAAGUCGAGCGAACAGACGAGGAGCUUGCUCCUUCGACGUUAGCGGCGGACGGGUGAGUAACACGUAGGUAACCUACCUAUAAGACUGGGAUAACUUCGGGAAACCGGGGCUAAUACCGGAUAAUAUUUCGAACCGCAUGGUUCGAUAGUGAAAGAUGGCUUUGCUAUCACUUAUAGAUGGACCUGCGCCGUAUUAGCUAGUUGGUAAGGUAACGGCUUACCAAGGCAACGAUACGUAGCCGACCUGAGAGGGUGAUCGGCCACACUGGAACUGAGACACGGUCCAGACUCCUACGGGAGGCAGCAGUAGGGAAUCUUCCGCCAUGGGCGGCAGCCUGACGGCGCACCGCCGCGUGAGUGAUGAAGGUCUUCGGAUCGUAAAACUCUGUUAUUAGGGAAGAACAAACGUGUAAGUAACUGUGCACGUCUUGACGGUACCUAAUCAGAAAGCCACGGCUAACUACGUG
This 497-nucleotide ribosomal RNA is filed under the name uncultured bacterium. RNAcentral's name for it is "partial 16S ribosomal RNA". It matches the Rfam family "Bacterial small subunit ribosomal RNA", at positions 28 to 507 of the family's 1533-position model. The record is from RNAcentral.